RNAcentral lists this ribosomal RNA (429 nucleotides) under Chloroflexota bacterium. RNAcentral's name for it is "Chloroflexi bacterium partial 16S ribosomal RNA". It matches the Rfam family "Bacterial small subunit ribosomal RNA", at positions 355 to 776 of the family's 1533-position model. The record is from RNAcentral. Lineage: Bacteria; Bacillati; Chloroflexota.
UGGGGAAUAUUGCACAAUGGGCGCAAGCCUGAUGCAGCCAUGCCGCGUGUAUGAAGAAGGCCUUCGGGUUGUAAAGUACUUUCAGCGGGGAGGAAGGGAGUAAAGUUAAUACCUUUGCUCAUUGACGUUACCCGCAGAAGAAGCACCGGCUAACUCCGUGCCAGCAGCCGCGGUAAUACGGAGGGUGCAAGCGUUGAUCGGAAUUACUGGGCGUAAAGCGCACGCAGGCGGUUUGUUAAGUCAGAUGUGAAAUCCCCGGGCUCAACCUGGGAACUGCAUCUGAUACUUGCAAGCUUGAGUCUCGUAGAGGGGGGUAGAAUUCCAGGUGUAGCGGUGAAAUGCGUAGAGAUCUGGAGGAAUACCGGUGGCGAAGGCGGCCCCCUGGACGAAGACUGACGCUCAGGUGCGAAAGCGUGGGGAGCAAACAGG